CUGGCUCAGAACGAACGCUGGCGGCGCGUCUUAAGCAUGCAAGUCGAACGGCAAGAGGUAGCAAUACCUCCUAGAGUGGCGGACUGGUGAGUAACACGUGGGUGACAUACCCUUCAGAUGGGGAUAGCUAUUAGAAAUAGUAGAUAAUACCGAAUACGAGCACAGGGGUUAGAGAUCUGUGAGGAAAGGAGCUAAGGCUCCGCUGAAGGAAUGGCCUGCGGCCCAUUAGCUAGUUGGUGAGGUAAGAGCCCACCAAGGCGAUGAUGGGUAUCCGGCCUUAGAGGGUGAACGGACACAUUGGGACUGAGAUACGGCCCAGACUCCUACGGGAGGCAGCAGCUAAGAAUAUUCCGCAAUGGACGAAAGUCUGACGGAGCGACGCCGCGUGGAUGAAGAAGGCCGGAAGGUUGUAAAAUCCUUUUGAAACUGAAGAAUAAGCGUUGUAGGGAAUGACAGCGUGGUGACAGUAGGUUUUGAAUAAGCAACGGCUAAUUACGUGCCAGCAGCUGC
This 510-nucleotide ribosomal RNA is filed under the name uncultured bacterium. RNAcentral's name for it is "bacterial SSU rRNA". It matches the Rfam family "Bacterial small subunit ribosomal RNA", at positions 19 to 518 of the family's 1533-position model. The record is from RNAcentral.